GGAUAUAGCUCAAUGGUAGAGCACAUGCUUAGCAUGCAUGGGGGUCUGUGUUCAACCCCAGUGCCUCCA
RNAcentral lists this transfer RNA (69 nucleotides) under Camelus bactrianus (Bactrian camel). It matches the Rfam family "tRNA". Rfam says of the family: Transfer RNA (tRNA) molecules are approximately 80 nucleotides in length. Their secondary structure includes four short double-helical elements and three loops (D, anti-codon, and T loops). Further hydrogen bonds mediate the characteristic L-shaped molecular structure. tRNAs have two regions of fundamental functional importance: the anti-codon, which is responsible for specific mRNA codon recognition, and the 3' end, to which the tRNAs corresponding amino acid is attached (by aminoacyl-tRNA synthetases). tRNAs cope with the degeneracy of the genetic code in two manners: having more than one tRNA (with a specific anti-codon) for a particular amino acid; and 'wobble' base-pairing, i.e. permitting non-standard base-pairing at the 3rd anti-codon position. The record is from Rfam by way of RNAcentral. Lineage: Eukaryota; Metazoa; Chordata; Mammalia; Artiodactyla; Camelidae. RNAcentral also lists the same sequence under 2 other names.